ACUAUGAUGCUCAAUAAAAGAUGUACUCCAAUAGGAUUUCAACUUUAAUAAAUAUCUAAAUCUAUCUUAAUUUAUCUCUAAUAGAUUUAAAUAUUAAUUCUAAUAUGGUGAGAUUUAUCCUCUAAUUAAUAUUUAAAUUUUAAUUAAUCUCUAACAGAUUUAAAUAUUAAUUCUAAUCCAAAUAAGAUUCAACUACAAAUCUAACCAAAUCCUAACAAUUUCCACCUUU
RNAcentral lists this long non-coding RNA (229 nucleotides) under Ananas comosus (pineapple). RNAcentral describes it as "long non-coding RNA (ACOM_LNC018198)". The record is from RNAcentral. Lineage: Eukaryota; Viridiplantae; Streptophyta; Magnoliopsida; Poales; Bromeliaceae.